Molecule: non-coding RNA, 20 nt
Filed under: Arabidopsis thaliana (thale cress)
Lineage: Eukaryota; Viridiplantae; Streptophyta; Magnoliopsida; Brassicales; Brassicaceae
Source: RNAcentral
CUGCCGUGAUCGUGGUCUGC